Molecule: long non-coding RNA, 4615 nt
Organism: Triplophysa rosa
Lineage: Eukaryota; Metazoa; Chordata; Actinopteri; Cypriniformes; Nemacheilidae
Exons: 3
Source: RefSeq, a predicted model, not a curated record
UGUCAUUGCAUGAGGAGCUGGUGAGUGCAGUCAGACGCUGAAGGUGGACAGAUCCUUGAGGGGACGCUAUGGGAUAAAAGGAUAAAGCUGUUAUAGGCUCUUUAUUGUACAACCCUCUCCUAACCCACAGCAAAGAAUGGCAGACAGUGUUGGGAAGUUACUCUGAAAAAAGAAUACAUUGUCACGAUAUGGUGAGGUGCAAGGACAGAGGACCCAAACACAGACAGCGGGUAAGGGGUUAACAAGGACUUUAAUAAUAAAAUAAAACAAAGACAAAACAAAAACCCACGAGGGAGUAAAACAAGAACAAGGGUAUAAUAGGACAUGAGAAUAGGACUAACUACACCUAACAAGACUAAAAAAAUAACAUUCACCAUAUUUUACAAAAGACUAGACUACACUAACAAGACAAGGACUCACCCACAUGAAUCAAAUGACAAUGAACCAGCACAGGACAGAAAACACAGGGGCCUUAAAAAGGGAACAAAUCAAGAGGGAACAGGUGCGGGGCAUGAACUAAUUAACAAUCAAUAAUGAAGAGACGAAAGGGCGGGAACAGAGACGAGACCGGAGAGAGCAUAAGGAAGGCCAACAGGGCCAGGAUGCCUCUCUCCACAUAAAACAUGGGGUUCUGUCAUGACCCUGCCACUAGACCAAGAGAAACAUGACAUGAUGCGGCAGAAUCAUGACAUACAUGUAGUGAUUAAAAUGAAGACCGGAAGCCACGGUCAAAUGCUUCACAAAGGUCAUGUCAAACAAUCUGUCAGAAGUGAGGCAACCUGCCAUGUAAAUUCAGCCAGCUCACAAUGAACACGAUGCCAGAAUGUUUGCCACGUUGAUCCAAGUGCUAAGAAAUAUAGACCGUAUAGUCAGGCCAGGCCAUCCCAAUACUCUCGUAUAACAUGUCAUUAUGCUCAACAACCAUACUUGCAUGAUACCCAGAUGACUUUCAGUCAUUCACCUGACUGUAUGACUCACAACACAACACCCACUGUCCGUCCACCACAGCCAAAAUAUAGUGUUAGUAGAUGUCUGUCGGCCAUUUACAUUCCAGUUUUACUUUUCCAUUGAAAUGUUGUGUAUUGUGUAAUUCAUUGUGAAUCACGUUAACACGUUUUGACCUUUUCUUGGUUGUCAGACAUUCCACCACAUGGAACAUACAUUCAUUCAGGCUGAUUUAUGUCGCUCAUUUGCUAAACUGGACACAUGUACAUUUGGUUAAACACACAUAAUCCACUGUCUUCGGUAUGCUUGAACAGGGUGACAAACACAUUUGAGAGCAAACAGAAAUACUGAUUAAUGUUUAGAAAAAAAUGCAAGACGAAAAAUAAAAGAUCGUUUUCUUAAUCUAGAACAGUGGUCUCUAACGUCCAGCCUACACUGAGCCCAGAGGGCUACUUGCUGAAUAUACUUUAUAAAUCAAUUCGAGAAAUGUUAAUAUUAGGGUGACCAUACGUGCCAUUUUUCUCCGGAGGUCACAUGUGUCCACUGCAUACGUCAUCGAGGUUCUCACGUUUGAGUUAAAGGGGAUGUGCAACUGUGUUUCAUGCAUUCUGACUUCUUUACACUGUUAACCGUGCUCUCCUUGCUGCCGCGUGCUUUUCCGGGAGAAUUGUCCAAUAAGGGACUAAGAAAAAUUGUUACGAAACAGUUUUAUAUGUUAAAAAAAAACUUUCCCGAAACCUGUACGAUCGUUGGGGGAGUGUAUCGAGCACAGAAAUACUACGUAAUACACCCAACUGGUUUUUUGACAAGUUGACCAUGUUAAGCAUGAGAAGACAGCACGUUUAACAUUGUAAAGAAGUAAGAAUGCAUGACACACCGUCGCACGGCUGCUGUAAAGCACAUAAUCAUUGUAGUUUCAUUCUUACCUUGAAAUAUAACUUGAAAUAAUAAACCUUGACGAGGUAUGCAGUGGACAAAUGCGACCACAAGAGGACGCACGCCAAAUCCUGGCCAGGAAAAUGGCACAUAUGGUCACCCUAGUUAAUAUUAAAGUUCAGGCCUGGCAGGUGACUCGCGUGGGCACCAUGUUGGAGAGCAGUGAUGGAGAACAUACAUAUGAGGUUCUUGUUGCUGGUGCUGUUAUUUCUGCUCAGAGGUACUUUUAUGUGAAUGUCACAGAUCGUGUCACUACAGAACAGGUGACUCCAUCAAAAUGCAGCAUGCUGUGACUGGUCGAACUCUUUUGUGUUCCAGUUCAGAAUGUUUCAGGAGACCUCUCCAGCAGUCCUUCAAUCCUCUGAGUACACACACGGGCACGACUAUGAUCGGCACCUCAGUGCUCCAGUGAUUUAUCCUUUCUGCUUUAUUUCAUCAAAUGGGCUGCUGUAUCCUGAACUUCUUUAUGGUGUACUGUCUAAGUCACAAUGGACAAGCAAAAUUAAUGUAUACUGAUGAUAUUGUCACAAAUGUCUCUGGUGUAAAAUAAGCAAGCAAUGAGAUAGUCAAGGCUAGUGCUUAAUUUUAAAUAAAUCACAACCGAAGGACGUUUUUACGCACGAGCCGAAACAGAGUGAAUUAUUCAUGAUAAACCCCAAACAUUCAGUACCAUAAUGCGUUUAGAAAACAAAUAGACUGUUUCAUUGAACGUGCGCACUGGGGCCUCAUGUAUCAACGCUGCAUACGCUCCAGCUUUCACGCUCACGGUCGGAUGUACUAACAGUGAAAUUAAUGUGAGAAUGUGCGUUCCUCCACGCCAACUUCAUGUCUGGCGUACGUACAUUUCUCGUGAUUUUUGUCCUUUGGCGACUGUUAGAGGCAAUGAAGUGAAGUUGCAAACAUAUAGACUAUCAGAUCAUUAGACAAGUCUAUCGCACCACCAGCUGUGAGAAACAUUACGAUAAAUGUGUAAUUGAUAAAAUAAUUGACACACUAUUGUCACACGAGCCUUAUGGGAAUAUGUUAUCAAUUAUGCAAUUAAGAAAGAACACAUAAAAGCAUGAGCAAAUUAAUACAACCCUUAGUCCAUGACGAUGGCAGCUUUAGCCUUAUUAGAGGACAUUGCCAAUGGCAGAAUCCGAAGACAACGAGUUUUUAGGGACCAUAAUGAUUUUCUGGCCCACGAUGAUGACUGGCUUAUCAACUGUUUCAGAUUUCCAAGGGCUAUUCUCUAGGAGCUCUGUGCUGAGUUGGGUCCGAAUUUAGAGAGAGAGACAGCGAGGAGCCACGCAUUACCCGUUCCCUUACAGGUGCUCACAACACUUGGUUUCCUGGCAACUGGCUCUUUCCAAAGGGAAUUGGCAGACAGCUCAGGAAUAAGCCAGUCGUCUUUGAGCCGCGCAGUGCCAGCUGUAUGGGACGGGAUCAUCCGCAUGUCUACCAGAUAUAUAAGGUUCCCAUACGAUGCAGUUGACCAGCCAAACAUUAAAGCGCAGUUUGCAGCGAUAGCCGGUUUUCCUAAUGUAAUCGGAGCGAUCGACGGCACACACAUUGCUAUAAAGGCGCCAUCUGAGGAAGAAUUUGCAUAUGUGAAUCGAAAACAUUUCCAUUCAAUAAAUGUGCAGAUAAUAUGUGACCCUGGAUCACAAAACCAGUCUUAAGUAGCACGGGAACAUUUUUAGUAAAAGACAAAAAUACAUUGUGUGGGUCAAAAUUAUCGAUUUUUCUUUUAUGCCAAAAAUCAUUAGGAUAUUAAGUAAAGAUCAUGUUCCAUGAAGAUAUUUAGUAAAUUUCCUACUUUAAAUAUAUAAAAACUUUAUUUUUGUGAGUGGAUGGUCUGCCACAGUGCCCCUGAUUAACAACUUCAAAGGCAAUUUUCUCAAUAUUUUGAUUUUUUUGCGCUCUCAGAUUCCAGAGUUUUAAACGGUUGUAUCUCAGCCAGAUAUUGUCCUAUUCUAACAACUCAUAUAUCUAUAGAAAUUUUAUUUAUUCAGCUUUCAGAUUAUGUAAAAAUCUCAAUUUCGAAAAAUUGACCCAUAAAACAGGUUUUGUUGUCCAGGGUCACAAAUGUGACCCACAAAUGCGCCUAACAAAUAUUGUGACAAGGUGGCCUGGGUCAACCCAUGAUUCAUUCAUACUUACAAACAGCAUGGUUGGGAUGAGGCUCCAAGCUGGCAGGGUGCGCGAUGGGUGGCUUCUUGGUGAGUGAUGCAUUUAAAGUUAUGUUUCUAUAUAAUUUUUUUUUAAAUCAUUCAACUGCCCAUCAGGAGACCGCGGUUAUCCAUUAAAGACGUGGUUAUUAACCCCCCUCACCAACCCACAAACUGACCGAGAGCGCAGAUACAAUGAUGCCCAUUCUCGCACUCGGUCAGUUGUAGAGCGGGCGAUUGGCAGCUGAAAUGUCGGUGGCGCUGCCUUGACAGGACCUGGGGAAUGCUGCUAUACCGCCCUGACAAGAUGUGCCGCAUUGUGCUGGCCUGGGGUGUGCUGCACAAUGUUUGCGCACAGGCACGGCAUACCACUCGGUGAGGUGGUAGCAGCGCCACAUGACCCUGACCCAGGACCAGUGUAUGUGCAGCCCAACCAACAAGCUAUUCAGGCCCAUCAACAUGUGAUUGCGACAAUAUAAAUGUGAUAUUUUUCAGGUGAGUGUUAAUUUCUCCGAUGGCCCGAACGAUUUGCUGUUGUUGUGACUCCAGAACAGCAUGCGUCAAGACGCGGCCAGACGGACGGG